GAUGAACGCUGGCGGCGUGCCUAAUACAUGCAAGUCGAGCGAACAGACGAGGAGCUUGCUCCUCUGACGUUAGCGGCGGACGGGUGAGUAACACGUGGAUAACCUACCUAUAAGACUGGGAUAACUUCGGGAAACCGGAGCUAAUACCGGAUAAUAUAUUGAACCGCAUGGAUCAAUAGUGAAAGACGGUUUUGCUGUCACUUAUAGAUGGAUCCGCGCCGCAUUAGCUAGUUGGUAAGGUAACGGCUUACCAAGGCAACGAUGCGUAGCCGACCUGAGAGGGUGAUCGGCCACACUGGAGCGGUGACACGGUCCAGAGUCCUACGGGAGGCAGCAGUAGGGAAUCGUCGGCAAUGGGGGAAAGCCUGACGGAGCAACGCCGCGUGAGUGAUGAAGGUCUUCGGAUCGUAAAACUCGGUUAUUAGGGAAGAACAAAAGUGUAAGUAACUAUGCACGUCUUGACGGUACCGAAGCAGAAAGCCACGGCUAACUACGUG
This 497-nucleotide ribosomal RNA is filed under the name uncultured bacterium. RNAcentral describes it as "partial 16S ribosomal RNA". It matches the Rfam family "Bacterial small subunit ribosomal RNA", at positions 28 to 507 of the family's 1533-position model. The record is from RNAcentral.